This 452-nucleotide ribosomal RNA is filed under the name uncultured bacterium. RNAcentral describes it as "bacterial SSU rRNA". It matches the Rfam family "Bacterial small subunit ribosomal RNA", at positions 365 to 807 of the family's 1533-position model. The record is from RNAcentral.
UUCGCAAUGCCCGAAAGGGUGACGAAGCGACGCCGCGUGUGGGAAGAAGGCCUUCGGGUUGUAAACCACUGUCGGGAGUUAGGAAAUGUAAGGGUGCUAAUAGUAUCCUUACUUGACUAAGGCUCCGGAGGAAGCCACGGCUAACUCUGUGCCAGCAGCCGCGGUAAUACAGAGGCGGCAAGCGUUGUUCGGAAUUAUUGGGCGUAAAGAGCACGUAGGCGGCCUUGUAAGCCAGUUGUGAAAGCCUUCUGCUUAACGGAAGAACAGCAGCUGAUACUGCAAGGCUAGAGUGCGGAAGGGGAGAGUGGAACUUCUGGUGGAGCGGUGAAAUGCGUAGAUAUCAGAAGGAACACCGGCGGCGAAGGCGACUCUCUGGUCCGUAACUGACGCUGAGUGUGCGAAAGCUAGGGGAGCAAACGGGAUUAGAUACCCCGGUAGUCCUAGCCGUAAAC